AUAUUGAAUGUAUUAGUUUUGAGGCCCUUUUGUGCGCCUUUAUAAACAAAUAUACAACUUUCAACAAUGGAUCUCUUGGCUCUUGCAUCGAUGAAGAACGCAGCGAAAUGCGAUAAGUAAUGUGAAUUGCAGAAUUCAGUGAAUCAUCGAAUCUUUGAACGCAUCUUGCGCUCCUUGGUAUUCCGAGGAGCAUGCCUGUUUGAGUGUCAUUAA
This 213-nucleotide ribosomal RNA is filed under the name Amanita longistriata. RNAcentral describes it as "5.8S ribosomal RNA". The stretch from base 56 to 209 matches the Rfam family "5.8S ribosomal RNA". From Rfam's summary of the family: 5.8S ribosomal RNA (5.8S rRNA) is a component of the large subunit of the eukaryotic ribosome. It is transcribed by RNA polymerase I as part of the 45S precursor that also contains 18S and 28S rRNA. The record is from RNAcentral. Lineage: Eukaryota; Fungi; Basidiomycota; Agaricomycetes; Agaricales; Amanitaceae.